Molecule: ribosomal RNA, 460 nt
Filed under: uncultured bacterium
Lineage: Bacteria
Description: partial 16S ribosomal RNA
Rfam family: Bacterial small subunit ribosomal RNA
Source: RNAcentral
CCUACGGGUGGCAGCAGUGAGGAAUAUUGGUCAAUGGGCGAGAGCCUGAACCAGCCAAGUCGCGUGAAGGAUGACGGCCCUACGGGUUGUAAACUUCUUUUGUCAGGGAGCAAUUGAGUCCACGUGUGGUCUUAGCGAGAGUACCUGAAGAAAAAGCAUCGGCUAACUCCGUGCCAGCAGCAGCGGUAAUACGGAGGAUGCGAGCGUUAUCCGGAUUUAUUGGGUUUCAAGGGUGCGUAGGCGGAAUAUCAAGUCAGCGGUAAAAAUUCGGGGCUAAACCCCGUCGUGCCGUUGAAACUGAUGGUCUUGAGGGGGGGAGAAGUAUGCGGAAUGCGGGGUGUAGCGGUGAAAUGCAUAGAUAUCACGAAGAACACCGAUUGCGAAGGCGGCAUACUGGAGCCCAACUGACGCUGAAGCGCGAAAGCGUGGGUAUCGAACAGGAUUAGAUACCCUUGUAGUC